This 1420-nucleotide long non-coding RNA is filed under the name Crocodylus porosus (Australian saltwater crocodile). RNAcentral describes it as "lncRNA (ENSCPRG00005008472.1)". Lineage: Eukaryota; Metazoa; Chordata; Crocodylia; Crocodylidae. The record is from RNAcentral.
UUAUCUGAGCUCACACAUGACAAAAUUGAGAUUUGAGAACCCAUCUCGGGAGACAGUAAAGUCCCAUCAUUCUCUUAACAUUAGUAAGCAGGUGGCAACAAUACCCCUCCUUACUUAUCCCAAACAAUAGCUGUCUUUGUGGUGCUCUAGAUGUCACGGAAAAUCUCACAUGCCUUUUGCGUGAAUAGAAAUGGACUAGAACCUCAGGCUCCGACACCUCUCAUUUCUGCAUUAAACUUUGAAGACAUCGUCUUCAUCAUCACUUCAGCAUGCCGGAUAAAAGCAACAUCAAAAAAGCCCCCUGUCACGUUGCAUUUGCCCCAGGGGAAAAACCCAAGUGGCCAAACAUGUAAUUUUGUGGUUUUCCACAUGACCACGGUUUGCUUUGUUUUUCUCCUUUGCUGGUGUUCUGGCACCUAAGCACUUCGGAGAUUUGUGAGACAACAAGAGUCGUAUUGUGCAGAUGCAAAAGGACUGGAAACGAACCAGUGAUAACGUGUUUCUGCUGGGACUGGAAGCAAGCAACCACCCAGAGACCCCAAAGCAGCACUUCUGUUGUUCGGCUAAAGGAGGCCGCCCCAAAACUAGACCCACCGUUUUAUCCACAAUCUACUGAAAUAGCACAGCGUCGCUCUGGACUACUCAGCUGUGUUUUUUAUUUGUUACAGGCUAUAAACCUGAACACCUCAGCAACACCUCAGCACUUUGGAUUAGGCAUCAUGGCUCUGCUUGUUACCGCUUGAACCUUUCUUUAACUUCAAUGGCAAAGAAAGGGAAAAGCGGUUGGGCUGGUCCCCUGCUCAUGUGGUCAGACUAGCUCAACCGGUAAUUGAAGAGAUAUGCCUUUCCUCUGAAAGGGCAAGGUGGGUUCCCCCCCACGCACACAUUUUCCUUCGCUUACUGAACAAACACUAGAUCAGUUCGGCAGAGGUAAACCUUGCGCAGUGCAAGGCUCGAGACCGGAGGGGCCAGGGCUUUCCAGCCUGGAGAAGGGUGACUGGGGGGACCGACAAAACAGCCACGGCGUGGGGAGAGCGGACUGCGGUUUCAUAUUUGCCGCCUCUCGCAGGGCCGGCCACGCUCGGGAAGCGGGUUUAAAACCAGCAAAAGGAGGUUUUCUUCCACACAGCGUCUGGUUUGCGGUGCGGAUGGUUGCCAGAUGUUAGUGGGGACAUAACCACAUCGAGACAAGAAUAGCCCUGGGGUGUUCAGCCCCAGAUCUGGCCACCCUGCCUGUGCUGCCAGAUGUCCAGACCUGUGGGGCCCGAUCCUGAUGCGCGGGGCUGGGCUGAGGAGGGAUGGGAGCGAGGCUUCGGGGCCUGACUCUUUUCUGUGCGCCAGGUGGGGCUCCAGGGCCCGAUCCUGGUAUGAGGGGCGGGGCCCUUGGGCCCUAUCCUGAUACGUUGGCCAGGGCAGGGCC